GGGCGAUUAGCUCAGCUGGUUAGAGCGCCGUCUUCACACGGCGGAGGUCACUGGUUCGAAUCCGGUAUCGCCCACCA
RNAcentral lists this transfer RNA (77 nucleotides) under Acidobacteriota bacterium. RNAcentral's name for it is "tRNA-Val". It matches the Rfam family "tRNA". From Rfam's summary of the family: Transfer RNA (tRNA) molecules are approximately 80 nucleotides in length. Their secondary structure includes four short double-helical elements and three loops (D, anti-codon, and T loops). Further hydrogen bonds mediate the characteristic L-shaped molecular structure. tRNAs have two regions of fundamental functional importance: the anti-codon, which is responsible for specific mRNA codon recognition, and the 3' end, to which the tRNAs corresponding amino acid is attached (by aminoacyl-tRNA synthetases). tRNAs cope with the degeneracy of the genetic code in two manners: having more than one tRNA (with a specific anti-codon) for a particular amino acid; and 'wobble' base-pairing, i.e. permitting non-standard base-pairing at the 3rd anti-codon position. RNAcentral also lists the same sequence under 1 other name. The record is from RNAcentral. Lineage: Bacteria; Pseudomonadati; Acidobacteriota.